RNAcentral lists this ribosomal RNA (542 nucleotides) under Tenellus cristinae. RNAcentral describes it as "partial 16S ribosomal RNA". It matches the Rfam family "Bacterial large subunit ribosomal RNA", at positions 1850 to 2606 of the family's 2925-position model. Lineage: Eukaryota; Metazoa; Chordata; Actinopteri; Siluriformes; Doradidae. The record is from RNAcentral.
AGGUCUUGCCUGCCCAGUGACAAGUUAAACGGCCGCGGUAUUUUGACCGUGCGAAGGUAGCGCAAUCACUUGUCUUUUAAUGAAGACCUGUAUGAAUGGCGGAACGAGGGCUUAACUGUCUCCCCUUUCAAGUCAAUGAAAUUGAUCUGCCCGUGCAGAAGCGGGUAUAUAAAUACAAGACGAGAAGACCCUUUGGAGCUUAAGAUAUAAAAUCAACUACGUCAAGGGCACAAACCAAACUAAGUAGCACCUGAUAAAUAUCUUCGGUUGGGGCGACCACGGGAGAAAAUAAAGCUCCCAUGCGGACUGGGGCUACACCCUAAAACCAAGAAAGACAUUUCUAAGUCACAGAACAUCUGACCAUAAAGAUCCGGCCACCCGCCGAUCAACGGACCAAGUUACCCUAGGGAUAACAGCGCAAUCCCCUUUCAGAGUCCAUAUCGACAAGGGGGUUUACGACCUCGAUGUUGGAUCAGGACAUCCUAUUGGUGCAGCCGCUAUUAAGGGUUCGUUUGUUCAACGAUUAAAGUCCUACGUGAUCU